GUCUUUGUUGGUGUUGGAUCAUCAUUGUCUUUGUUUGUCGGAGGAACGAUCGCGGAUGGAUGACGAUGGCGUCCGCAAAUGAACUGGAGGAACACAAGUCUCUCACCGUCAGCGCUCCCCUCCGAGUGGUCCGCCUCAGGCUUGAAACCUGCCUGCUGUGUGCUCUCCAGUCGCCGCGCAGACACCAGCGACCAGUCACUUUGGUUGCUGUGAUUUGACAAAGUCCAUAGGCAAGGUGUUUCGAAAUCACAGGAGGAAACUGCAAGACAAGAAGGCACAUGAGAUUCAUAGUCAUGGUCAAAUACAGGGUGACCAAAAAAAACCAUAACCCAUAAAAAGCUCCAGCAAAUUUUAAACACCCCCAAAAUGUUGGUAUUUUUGCAUAAAAGUCAUGGUCUUUCUAAAAUAUGCUCCAUAUGGUUACAUGGUGCUCGAGGCAAACUUAAAUAUCCAUCCAUCCAUUUUCUACCGCUUGUCCCUUUUGGGGUCGCGCGGGGGGCGGGGGGUGCUGGAGUCUAUCCCAGCUGCAUUCGAGCAGAAGGCGGGGUACAC
Long non-coding RNA from Entelurus aequoreus (snake pipefish), 552 nucleotides. RefSeq lists it as uncharacterized. The record is from RefSeq and is a predicted model, not a curated record. The transcript is spliced from 3 exons. NCBI's taxonomy places the organism in Eukaryota, Metazoa, Chordata, Actinopteri, Syngnathiformes, Syngnathidae.